CUGUGGUGCAUUGUAGUUGCAUUGCACUGGGCUGCAGGAUCAUGCAAUGUGUCUGCAGUGCAGUACAG
Molecule: non-coding RNA, 68 nt
Organism: Salmo salar (Atlantic salmon)
Lineage: Eukaryota; Metazoa; Chordata; Actinopteri; Salmoniformes; Salmonidae
Source: Rfam